This 312-nucleotide long non-coding RNA is filed under the name Chinchilla lanigera (long-tailed chinchilla). RNAcentral's name for it is "lncRNA (ENSCLAG00000027669.1)". The record is from RNAcentral. Lineage: Eukaryota; Metazoa; Chordata; Mammalia; Rodentia; Chinchillidae.
AUGCCCUUCUGCAGGACGCUGGGUAGAGGUGGCUCCAGUGGGCCGGAGCCGCCCGCGCAGAGCCCAAGAGCUUCAUUCCCUGAAGCAGACAGGAGAAGAUAUGUGUGGCGGGUCUUUUGUUUCGUCAUUUGCUUUGGUGCCUUGAAGGCAGACCCAUGGGAACAUCAGCGAGGUUCCCUCUGUCCUGCAGUCCACUGCGUUCAGCCAGUAGCAGGUUGGGAUGUGCGUUUCCAGGGACCCUCCUGCUCGGCGAUCCAGUGUGGACAAAUAAGCGUGUCCUGCCCAGCUGAUGACGGUAGAGAAGUCCACUGA